UUUAAUUAUUAUUUAAUUAGUCAUAAAAUUCAAUAACUUCACUCUUAUAUACUGUAGUGUCACCAAAUUUGCUGGAGCCAUCAAUUAUCUCCUGCUGGUCAUACUACAACUCUUGGUUUGAUGCUAAACACAAAAUCUGAAUUUUAAGGAAUUUUUUAUUAGUAAUGAAAUUGUUGUUAUAUAUCUCAAAUAUUUUUUGUUGUAACAGAUAAAAGUGAUCAUCCAUUGUUUGGGUAGAUUGUGUAACAUUAAUCACCAAAAGUAACUGAAUUUUAAUGAUUUGGGUUGUUUAUUGCCAUGUGAAGAUGUGCACACUAUUUAGUGUGCAUGCUUGUGUGUGAAGUUUAAGGAUUAUGAGUAAAUUAGCUUUGAUGGCUCUUUUCUUGAUGUAUGUGAUGCUAUAUUUUUAGAUCCACAAUGCACCUGUUUGUCCAAAUACAUGAUACUGAAUAGUAAUGGAACCUGGAAUCCUCAUCAAAGAGAGGAUCAGAUAACACCAAUAUACCAAACUAAACUGUUUAGACUGUCUCCUCAAGUACUGAUGAUUGGGAAGAAAGACAAUAAGAUGCCUUCUUACAAGGCUGCAGCAUUAACUGAUUCAUUUAAACCAUAAUGUUAAACCGCUAAUAAUAAUUUCCAAGUUAAGGACUGUAUGAACAAUACUUGGAAGAAAAAACCUGAAGAUAUGAUCAGUCGGACCUUUUGAUGGUUGGAUGGAGUUUAUUUUUUCUGCAGUGUUUAAGAGUGAAGUGAUUGAAUUUUAUUUACUAUAAAAAAUUCCUUAAAAUUCAGAUUUUUGAUUUACUACCAAACCAAGACUUGUAGUAUGACAAUCAGGAGCCAACUGAUGGCUCCAGUGAAUUUGAUGACACUACAGUACAUAAGAGUGAAGUUAUUGAAUUUUAUGACUAAUAAAAUAAUAAUAAAAUUCAUUAAAAUUAUGAAAGAAUGUUUUUAUAUCAAACCAAGAGUUGUAGUAUGACCAGUAGGAGUCAAUUGAUGGCUCCACUGAUUUUGGUGACAAUACAAUGUAUAAGAGUGAAGUUACUGAAUUUUAUUACCAAUAAAAAUUCCUUAAAAUUCAGAUUUUGUAUUUAAUAUCAAACCAAGGGUUGUACUAUGACAGUCAGGAGACAACUAAUGGCAUCAACGAGUUUGGUGACACUACAGUACAUAAGAGUGAAGUUAAUGAAUUUUAUUACGAAUAAAAAUUAUUUAACAUUCAACUUUUGUACUUAAUAUCACACACAAGAGUUGUAGUAUGACCAGCAGGAGAUAAUUGAAGGCUCCAGUGAUUUUGGUGACGCUAAAGUAAACAAGAGUGAAGGUAUUGAAUUUUGUUACUAAUAAAAUAAUA
Amphiprion ocellaris (clown anemonefish) is the source of this 1357-nucleotide long non-coding RNA. The record is from Ensembl. NCBI's taxonomy places the organism in Eukaryota, Metazoa, Chordata, Actinopteri, Pomacentridae.